Molecule: ribosomal RNA, 804 nt
Filed under: Bacillus subtilis
Lineage: Bacteria; Bacillati; Bacillota; Bacilli; Caryophanales; Bacillaceae
Description: bacterial SSU rRNA
Rfam family: Bacterial small subunit ribosomal RNA
Source: RNAcentral
AGUUUGAUCCUGGCUCAGGACGAACGCUGGCGGCGUGCCUAAUACAUGCAAGUCGAGCGGACAGAUGGGAGCUUGCUCCCUGAUGUUAGCGGCGGACGGGUGAGUAACACGUGGGUAACCUGCCUGUAAGACUGGGAUAACUCCGGGAAACCGGGGCUAAUACCGGAUGGUUGUUUGAACCGCAUGGUUCAAACAUAAAAGGUGGCUUCGGCUACCACUUACAGAUGGACCCGCGGCGCAUUAGCUAGUUGGUGAGGUAACGGCUCACCAAGGCGACGAUGCGUAGCCGACCUGAGAGGGUGAUCGGCCACACUGGGACUGAGACACGGCCCAGACUCCUACGGGAGGCAGCAGUAGGGAAUCUUCCGCAAUGGACGAAAGUCUGACGGAGCAACGCCGCGUGAGUGAUGAAGGUUUUCGGAUCGUAAAGCUCUGUUGUUAGGGAAGAACAAGUACCGUUCGAAUAGGGCGGURCCUUGACGGUACCUAACCAGAAAGCCACGGCUAACUACGUGCCAGCAGCCGCGGUAAUACGUAGGUGGCAAGCGUUGUCCGGAAUUAUUGGGCGUAAAGGGCUCGCAGGCGGUUUCUUAAGUCUGAUGUGAAAGCCCCCGGCUCAACCGGGGAGGGUCAUUGGAAACUGGGGAACUUGAGUGCAGAAGAGGAGAGUGGAAUUCCACGUGUAGCGGUGAAAUGCGUAGAGAUGUGGAGGAACACCAGUGGCGAAGGCGACUCUCUGGUCUGUAACUGACGCUGAGGAGCGAAAGCGUGGGGAGCGAACAGGAUUAGAUACCCUGGUAGUCC